GGUUUCUUAAGUGUGAUGUGAAAGCCCCCGGCUCAACCGGGGAGGGUCAUUGGAAACUGGGAAACUUGAGUGCAGAAGAGGAGAGUGGAAUUCCACGUGUAGCGGUGAAAUGCGUAGAGAUGUGGAGGAACACCAGUGGCGAAGGCGACUCUCUGGUCUGUAACUGACGCUGAGGAGCGAAAGCGUGGGGAGCGAACAGGAUUAGAUACCCUGGUAGUCCACGCCGUAAACGAUGAGUGCUAAGUGUUAGGGGGUUUCCGCCCCUUAGUGCUGCAGCUAACGCAUUAAGCACUCCGCCUGGGGAGUACGGUCGCAAGACUGAAACUCAAAGGAAUUGACGGGGGCCCGCACAAGCGGUGGAGCAUGUGGUUUAAUUCGAAGCAACGCGAAGAACCUUACCAGGUCUUGACAUCCUCUGACAACCCUAGAGAUAGGGCUUUCCCUUCGGGGACAGAGUGACAGGUGGUGCAUGGUUGUCGUCAGCUCGUGUCGUGAGAUGUUGGGUUAAGUCCCGCAACGAGCGCAACCCUUGAUCUUAGUUGCCAGCAUUUAGUUGGGCACUCUAAGGUGACUGCCGGUGACAAACCGGAGGAAGGUGGGGAUGACGUCAAAUCAUCAUGCCCCUUAUGACCUGGGCUACACACGUGCUACAAUGGACAGAACAAAGGGCUGCGAGACCGCAAGGUUUAGCCAAUCCCAUAAAUCUGUUCUCAGUUCGGAUCGCAGUCUGCAACUCGACUGCGUGAAGCUGGAAUCGCUAGUAAUCGCGGAU
RNAcentral lists this ribosomal RNA (772 nucleotides) under Bacillus sp. PS-247. Its description in RNAcentral is "bacterial SSU rRNA". It matches the Rfam family "Bacterial small subunit ribosomal RNA", at positions 577 to 1349 of the family's 1533-position model. The record is from RNAcentral. Lineage: Bacteria; Bacillati; Bacillota; Bacilli; Caryophanales; Bacillaceae.